Molecule: ribosomal RNA, 371 nt
Filed under: uncultured organism
Description: bacterial SSU rRNA
Rfam family: Bacterial small subunit ribosomal RNA
Source: RNAcentral
CGUAGGGUGCGAGCGUUAAUCGGAAUUACUGGGCGUAAAGCGUGCGCAGGCGGUUUUGUAAGACAGGCGUGAAAUCCCCGGGCUCAACCUGGGAACUGCGCUUGUGACUGCAAGGCUAGAGUACGGCAGAGGGGGUGGAAUUCCACGUGUAGCAGUGAAAUGCGUAGAGAUGUGGAGGAACACCAAUGGCGAAGGCAGCCCCCUGGGUCGAUACUGACGCUCAUGCACGAGAGCGUGGGUAGCAAACAGGAUUAGAUACCCUGGUAGUCCACGCCCUAAACGAUGUCAACUAGGUGUUGGGUGGGUAAAACCAUUUAGUACCGGAGCUAACGCGUGAAGUUGACCGCCUGGGGAGUACGGCCGCAAGGUUA